Molecule: ribosomal RNA, 1495 nt
Filed under: uncultured Bordetella sp.
Lineage: Bacteria; Pseudomonadati; Pseudomonadota; Betaproteobacteria; Burkholderiales; Alcaligenaceae
Description: partial 16S-23S ribosomal RNA intergenic spacer
Rfam family: Bacterial small subunit ribosomal RNA
Source: RNAcentral
AGUUCGAUCAUGGCUCAGAUUGAACGCUGGCGGGAUGCUUUACACAUGCAAGUCGAACGGCAGCACGGACCUCGGUCUGGUGGCGAGUGGCGAACGGGUGAGUAAUGUAUCGGAACGUGCCUAGUAGCGGGGAUAACUACGCGAAAGCGUAGCUACUACCGCAUACGUUCUUCGGGGGAAAGCGGGGGACCUUCGGGCCUCGCACUAUUAGAGCGCCGAUAUCGGAUUAGCUAGUUGGUGGGGUAACGGCUCACCAAGGCGACGAUCCGUAGCUGGUUUGAGAGGACGACCAGCCACACUGGGACUGAGACACGGCCCAGACUCCUACGGAGGCAGCAGUGGGGAAUUUUGGACAAUGGGGGAACCCUGAUCCAGCCAUCCCGCGUGCGUGAUGAAGGCCUUCGGGUUGUAAAGCACUUUUGGCAGGAAAGAAACGGCACGAUAAUACCCGUGCAACUGACGGUACCUGCAGAAUAAGCACCGGCUAACUACGUGCCAGCAGCCGCGGUAAUACGUAGGGGUGCAAGCGUUAAUCGGAAUUACUGGCGGUACGGCGCAGGCGGUUCGGAAAGAAAGAUGUGAAAUCCCAGAGCUUAACUUUGGAACUGCAUUUUUAACUACCGAGCUAGAGUGUGUCAGAGGGAGGUGGAAUUCCGCGUGUAGCAGUGAAAUGCGUGAUAUGCGGAGGAACACCGAUGGCGCCCGCCACGCCGUCACGCCGCUGCCGGUCGCAAGGCAGCUCGAUAACACUGACGUCAUACGAAAGCGUGGGGAGCAAACAGGAUCAGAUACACUUGGUAGUCCACGCCCUAAACGAUGUCAACUAGCUGUUGGGGCCUUCUUCGCCUUGGCAGCGCAGCUAACGCGUGAAGUUGACCGCCUGGGGAGUACGGUCGCAAGAUUAACUCAAAGGAAUUGACGGGGACCCGCACAAGCGCGGUGGAUGAUGUGGAUUAAUUCGACGCAACGCGAAAAACCUUACCUACCUCGACAUGUCUGGAAUCCUGAAGAUUCCGGGAGUGCUCGCAAGAGAACCGGAACACAGGUGCUGCAUGGCUGUCGUCAGCUCGUGUCGUGAGAUGUUGGGUUAAGUCCCGCAACGAGCGCAACCCCUGUCAUUAUUGCUACGAAAGGGCACUGACGAGAUCGCCGGUGACAAACUGGAGGAAGGUGGGAUGACGUCAAGUCCUCAUGGCCCUUAUGGGUAGGGCUUCACACGUCAUACAAUGGUCGGGACAGAGGGUCGCCAAUCCGCGAGGGGGAGCCAAUCCAGAAACCCGAUCGUAGUCCGGAUCGCAGUCUGCAACCUGACUGGUGCAAGCUGGAAUCGCUAGUAAUCGCGGAUCAGCAUGUCACGGUGAAUACGUUCCCGGUCUUGUACACACCGCCCGUCACACCAUGGGAGUGGGUUUUACCAGAAGUAGUUAGCCUAACCGUAAGGAGGGCGAUUACCACGGUAGGAUUCAUGACUGGGGGUGAAGUCGUAACAAGGUAG